AGUGUGUACCUGCUUCAGCAGCACAUAUACUAUUUUUUAAAAGUGAAACAAUACAGAGAAGAUUAGCAUGGCCCCUGUGCAAGGAAGAUAUGUAAAUUCAUGAAGCAUUCCAUAUAUUA
This 119-nucleotide small nuclear RNA is filed under the name Dasypus novemcinctus (nine-banded armadillo). The record is from RNAcentral. Lineage: Eukaryota; Metazoa; Chordata; Mammalia; Cingulata; Dasypodidae.